Molecule: unclassified non-coding RNA, 348 nt
Filed under: soil metagenome
Description: partial contains 5.8S ribosomal RNA, internal transcribed spacer 2, and large subunit ribosomal RNA
Rfam family: 5.8S ribosomal RNA (bases 1-120)
Source: RNAcentral
GAUGAAGAACGCAGCGAAAUGCGAUAAGUAAUGUGAAUUGCAGAAUUCCGUGAAUCAUCGAGUCUUUGAACGCACAUUGCGCCCCCUGGUAUUCCGGGGGGCAUGCCUGUCCGAGCGUCAUUGCCGCCCUCAAGCACGGCUUGUGUGUUGGGCCCCCGCCCCCCGGCUUCGGGGGGCGGGCCCGAAAGGCAGCGGCGGCACCGCGUCCGGUCCUCGAGCGUAUGGGGCUUCGUCACCCGCUCUGUAGGCCCGGCCGGCGCCCGCCGGCGACCCCAAUCAAUCUUUCGAGGUUGACCUCGGAUCAGGUAGGGAUACCCGCUGAACUUAAGCAUAUCAAUAAGCGGAGGA